This is a long non-coding RNA of Herpailurus yagouaroundi (jaguarundi), 2288 nucleotides long. RefSeq lists it as uncharacterized. Lineage: Eukaryota; Metazoa; Chordata; Mammalia; Carnivora; Felidae. The record is from RefSeq and is a predicted model, not a curated record. The transcript has 3 exons.
GAAAAUGAAUCAGGGUGGGGUGGGGGCACGGUCAGGACAAGAAAAUUCACUGAGAGGCUGUUGAGGUAAUUGAAGGGAUUGAUGAUAAUGACCUGAACUAGGAUGGUGGCAGUGGAGAUGGAUGGGCAUGAAUGGACUAAUGGACUUUUUUAGUAGUCCCACUCAAAAGGACUUGAAAAUGGAUUAGAUGCAGAAUGUAAGGAAGAAGGGGUGAGGCAUGAAACUCCAAUUUUUAAGUUGGUUAAAAGAAACACAGAAAGACCGAUUUUGAGAACAAACAAGAAUUUCCACUUGGGUGUUUUUUUUUGUUGUUUGUUUUUUGUUUUUUGUUUUUCAUUUCCAUUGCCUGAUAGAAACCCACAUUCAGGUGUCUAAGCAGCAGUUGAAUCUUUAGAGUCAAAGCUUAGGGGAGAACUCUAGCUGGUGAUAAUGAUUUGGGAAUUUUUAGCAUAGAAGUAGUCAUUGAAUCCAAGGGAAUGAGUGAUACUGCCCAGAACAAGUUUGUAAAGAGGAAAAAAAAAAAAAAAAAAAAAAAGGUAGUAGGAACACCGUGAAAGCCAUCAAUAGAAAAGGAAGAGGGCAUACCUGGCAUUUUUAUUUUUCUCUUUGAGAGGUAAAUUUUCCACAUGUUUCAGGCUAUUUUACAGAGGUAUCUUACUAAUGAAAAGUACACAGUGUGAAUACUGUUAACAUACAUGAGGAAUGUAUAUUGAGAUCUUCAACCUAUAAAUACCAUUUUAAUACAUAUGAAUCCCAAGAAAUUCUGAUACGUUUAGGUUCAUGGUUUUGUGUUGCAAAAUAUUCUUCAAAUGCAGGACUUCUUAAACUGAUCCAUACAGCACUCUUAUGACCCAAUGGCAAUAUAUGGACAUAAAUUAUUAUUCUUAUUCUCCAAACUGGGGUUCCCAUAUAAUAGAGCUACAAAAUCAACGACAUAAUCCAUAAAUAUUUUCUGCUCUUUGUAUAUAUUCACAUAUGCAUUUAUUUUGAUGAUAUCUGUCAUGAAUAUCCUUCUGGCUUAUAACCUUUUUCUUUAUGAUAACCUUUGGUUAGAAAGAACGUCACAUGGUCAACUUUUAGCCUCUCAAAAAUUUUUUUAAAGACAGAUAUUUAAACUAGGUGAGCUAAAUUUUAUAUAUCAUAAAUGCUGGUUCAUUUGCUUCAAUACUGUUCUCAGCCUCUGUUGCUUCAGAGGAAUGAUUAUAAAUACUUUACCUUUCAUUUGAAUUAGGUUUCUGUUGAGACAAGUAUUUUCUGAAUAUGUCCUCACUUCACAAAAUUAAUGUAUUUUCAGCCUUCUCUAAUUUUACCACUGUUUUGAUAGUUUUAUAGCAGAGGAAAAUGUAUUGAAACAAUUUCAAGACUUUUUAAAAUUUUUCUUAUUUGUAAGAUAUAUGGUUGAUUCAUUCCCUCCCUAGAUUGGAACUACUGCAAAAUCAACAUUUUACUUUUAAGUGAAUCCAAAUGUAUAUAUUCUGGUUAAAUACCCUCAGCAGUAUCAGUUGACUUUCCUUUAAAUGGAACUUCUAUUUCAAAAAUAAACCAUCAAAAAUAUUAUAUCCUGAGUUACUCUGUAAGAGGGGAUAAGUAUGAAGUAGCAAGCCAGCAAUAAAAUAAGUAUCCUGGAUGCCCACCAGAUUCACUGACUAGCUAACUGACUCACACAUUAACCAAACAAUUUUGAGAUUCAGAGCAGGGCCUGAGGAAAAUUACCAAUGGAUAUUUGUAAUGAAUUAUUGGGGUUGCUUGUAAGUGUUUGAAACUUCAAUUAUUACAGCUGUGUAUGCCAAGAAUCCAAUUAUUCUUUCAGCCAAUUUUUCCUGACCACCUACUCUGUGCCUUAGUCACAGACACUGAACAAAAAAUACACUUGUCCUUUCUUUAUAGGCACUUUUGGUCUAUGGGGGAAACCAAUCAAGCAAUCAAAUGAACAUAAGUAUAAUUUAACAUGAGGUAAGGUAAGAAACAAGAUUCUCUAUAGUGUGUCACCAAAGUACAUGGUCUUCAGGACAGACAACAGUCAGGAGUCACCUCUCUGAGAAAGUGACUCUUGGAAGGAUGAGUAGGAAGUAGGCAGGCAAAGUGGGUUGGGCAGAGGGCUGGGGAAGGUAUUUAUAGAGAGAGAUCCACAUAAACCAUAGUCUUCUCCUCAUGUACUCAGAGAAGGUAUGGAGCCCUCAGAGAUAUAAAAAUGUCAUUGUGACCGUGGCAUAAAGGUGAGGAAAAGAGAGUUUAAAUUGAGGAAGGUGUCACAUCAUACAAGGCAUUAAAGGUUAUAAUGAGAAUUU